Molecule: ribosomal RNA, 468 nt
Filed under: uncultured bacterium
Lineage: Bacteria
Description: partial 16S ribosomal RNA
Rfam family: Bacterial small subunit ribosomal RNA
Source: RNAcentral
GACGAACGCUGGCGGCGUGCUUAACACAUGCCAGUCGAACGGAAAGGCCCUGCUUUUGUGGGGUGCUCGAGUGGCGAACGGGUGAGUAACACGUGAGUAACCUGCCCUUGACUUUGGGAUAACUUCAGGAAACUGGGGCUAAUACCGGAUAGGAGCUCCUGCUGCAUGGUGGGGGUUGGAAAGUUUCGGCGGUUGGGGAUGGACUCGCGGCUUAUCAGCUUGUUGGUGGGGUAGUGGCUUACCAAGGCUUUGACGGGUAGCCGGCCUGAGAGGGUGACCGGCCACAUGGGGACUGAGAGACGGCCCAGACGCCUAUGGUAGGCAGCAGUGGGGAAUAUGGCACAAUGGGCGGAAGCCUGAUGCAGCAACGCCGCGUGCGGGAUGACGGCCUUCGGGUUGUAAACCGCUUUCGCCUGUGACGAAGCGUGAGUGACGGUAAUGGGUAAAGAAGCACCGGCUAACUACGUG